AGAGUUUGAUCCUGGCUCAGAUUGAACGCUGGCGGCAGGCCUAACACAUGCAAGUCGAACGGUAACAGGAAACAGCUUGCUGUUUCGCUGACGAGUGGCGGACGGGUGAGUAAUGUCUGGGAAACUGCCUGAUGGAGGGGGAUAACUACUGGAAACGGUAGCUAAUACCGCAUAACGUCGCAAGACCAAAGAGGGGGACCUUCGGGCCUCUUGCCAACGGAUGUGCCCAGAUGGGAUUAGCUAGUAGGUGGGGUAACGGCUCACCUAGGCGACGAUCCCUAGCUGGUCUGAGAGGAUGACCAGCCACACUGGAACUGAGACACGGUCCAGACUCCUACGGGAGGCAGCAGUGGGGAAUAUUGCACAAUGGGCGCAAGCCUGAUGCAGCCAUGCCGCGUGUAUGAAGAAGGCCUUCGGGUUGUAAAGUACUUUCAGCGGGGAGGAAGGGAGUAAAGUUAA
Molecule: ribosomal RNA, 459 nt
Filed under: uncultured bacterium
Lineage: Bacteria
Description: bacterial SSU rRNA
Rfam family: Bacterial small subunit ribosomal RNA
Source: RNAcentral